This 1401-nucleotide long non-coding RNA is filed under the name Homo sapiens (human). RNAcentral's name for it is "MIR4435-2 host gene". The record is from RNAcentral. Lineage: Eukaryota; Metazoa; Chordata; Mammalia; Primates; Hominidae.
GGAGGGAAAUAAAUGACUGGAUGGUCGCUGCUUUUUAAGUUUCAAAUUGACAUUCCAGACAAGCGGUGCCUGAGCCCGUGCCUGUCUUCAGAUCUUCACAGCACAGUUCCUGGGAAGGUGGAGCCACCAGCCUCUCCCUGAAUUUGGGCAGUUGUCUGGACAUUAGGAGUUGAGUCACCUCCUACCCAUGAGGAACAAGCCUGUGGGGGGACUGAUAUUAUCACUUCUGUCAUCAAGAAAUAAGGCCGCAGGCAUCCCUGAAUAUAGAGCAUUUAUUAAUCGAACUGUGAAAAUGAAACACAGACAGUGAUGACAGCUGGAAGUUGGCCAAUGUCCUGUUGUCAUAUUGCCCUCAGCCUAGGGACUGGCCUGUGGCUCACUGACCCUGUCUCCCACUCUCCACCUCUCAUCAGCACCUGGACCUGGUGCACCUGGUCUACCUCAUGUCCAGUGUUUUCCGCAGUACCUGACUGGUAUCCCCACCCUUGGUUGUUGUGUGGUGAGCUCGUCCCUAUGUUGGCAAGUUACUUAAUUCCUAGGUGUCCCGCCUUCCUCACUGUAAAAUGAGAAUAGUCAUAGCACGAAUGUCAUGAAUCCUUGUGAAGAUUUUAUGAUUAGCACACGAGUUACAAGGAGACACGAUAACUGUUACGUACGUACUCAUUCGUUCGGAAAUACAACAGACAGCUUAGUAUCUCCACCCGGGUCCCUCUGCCCUGUGGGAAUCCAUAAAGAAUUGAUUCUCAUCCCCCAGAAGUGAGAUCCCGCUUGUGUCAUCAAUUACAUGGCAUGUUCUGCAUUUACAGGACAUUUAUUUAUUAGGUAAGUGGGGAAUCCUCCUUGGUUCUCUCCAGGAAAACCUGGAGUUCUAGAUAUCAUCAUCAUCAUCAUCAUCACUGUCAUCAUCAUUGACAUCAUCACAAUAAGUACUCCCAUUGUAUUCAGCCCUAACCGUAUGGUAGCAACUUUAUGGUAUUCCCUUUAACCUCCCCCCACCCCAAUAUCCAUCCUGGAAGAUGGGAAGGAUGAUAGGUUUGUUGACUCACUCAAGGCGGUGGGACUCUCCAGCAGGUAUCAGGCACAGCAUCUGCUUCAAAGAACACAUCGACGACAGGGGAGCCCCUUGCACUCACUCAGGACAGGAGAAUCAGGAAAAGCAGCAGAUCUGCAGGGCUUUGUGUGUAAUCCAACCAGACUGAUGCCACAGGCCAGGAAACCGAGGACGGUUGGCUUCAGACCUACCCUGGAGUGGAAGCAGCUGGAUUCUGUCCUCACGCUUCCUGUCUAAAGCCAGCUAGAGUAAAUUUCUAGUCAUCUAGAUUCUGGUUAUUUGGAAAUCAUCACAGUAUCUGGAGAUGACUCAUAUUGAAAAAAAUUAAAUAAGAUACACUUAAAACUUAA